CCUGAGCGCCCCGCCAUGGCCGGCACCCCCGGCCCGCUCCGCCUCGCACUCCUGCUGCUCGGGGCGGUGGGCAGGGCCGGCCCCCGCCCCCAGGGUGCCACUGUAUCCCUCUCGGAGACUGUGCAGAAAUGGCGAGAAUACCGACGCCAGUGCCAGCGCUUCCUGAAUGAGGCUCCAUCCCCAGCUACAGGCUUGUUCUGCAACCGGAGCUUUGAUGACUAUGCCUGCUGGCCAGAUGGGACACCGGGCUCCUUUGUGAACGUCAGCUGCCCCUGGUACCUGCCCUGGGCCAGCAGUGUGUUGCAGGGCCAUGUGUACCGGUUCUGCACAGCUGAGGGCCUGUGGCUGCACAAGGACAACUCCAGCUUGCCCUGGAGGGACCUGUCGGAGUGCGAGGAGUCCAAGCGAGGGGAGAAAAGCACCCCGGAGGAGCAGCUCCUGUCCCUUUACGUCAUCUACACCGUGGGCUACGCGCUCUCCUUUUCCGCUCUGGUCAUAGCUUCGGCCAUCCUUCUAGGAUUCAGACACCUGCACUGCACCCGGAACUACAUCCACCUGAACCUAUUUGCAUCCUUCAUCCUCCGAGCUCUGUCCAUCUUCAUCAAAGAUACAGCCCUCAAGUGGAUGUACAGCACGGCUGCCCAGCAGCACCAGUGGGAUGGGCUUCUCUCCUACCAGGACUCUGUGGGCUGCCGCCUGGUGUUCCUGCUCAUGCAGUACUGCGUGGCGGCCAAUUACUACUGGCUCCUGGUGGAGGGUGUGUACCUGUACACGCUGCUGGCCCUCUCAGUCUUCUCCGAGCAGCGCAUCUUCAGGCUGUAUCUGAGCAUAGGCUGGGGUGUUCCCCUGCUGUUUGUUAUCCCCUGGGGCAUCGUCAAGUACCUCUAUGAGGAUGAGGGUUGCUGGACCAGGAACUCAAACAUGAACUACUGGCUCAUUAUCCGGCUGCCCAUUCUCUUUGCCAUUGGAGUGAACUUCCUCAUCUUUGUCCGGGUCAUCUGCAUCGUGGUGGCCAAACUGAAGGCCAAUCUCAUGUGCAAGACAGACAUCAAGUGCAGACUUGCCAAGUCCACGUUGACGCUCAUCCCCCUGCUGGGGACGCACGAGGUCAUCUUUGCCUUCGUGAUAGACGAGCACGCCCGGGGGACGCUGCGCUUCAUCAAGCUGUUCACAGAGCUCUCCUUCACCUCCUUCCAGGGGCUGAUGGUGGCCAUCUUGUACUGCUUUGUCAACAAUGAGGUCCAGAUGGAGUUUCGGAAGAGCUGGGAGCGCUGGCGGCUGGAGCAUCUGCACAACCAGAGGGACAGCAGCAUGAAGCCCCUCAAGUGUCCCACCACCAGCCUGAGCAGCGGAGGCACCGUGGGCAGCAGUGUGUACACAGCCACCUGCCAGGCUUCCUGCAGCUAAGGCUCUGGCACCCGCUGUUCCUGUGGUGCUCGCUGUUGGCUGGGCAGCCCUUCCAGGGACACUUCAGGAAUGUCCACAACAUAGGUGUCUACUACCUGCCACUGCUGGGAAGCCAGAGGGCCAAGAAAUCCUUUGCCUCCACCCGCUCCAUGGAAAUGCUUUCUAUAUGUGAUCAGAUUCUGGAUCUUGAAAUGGAGUUUAGGUGCAUCGUCUAACUCUAAGGGACGUGACCAAGAAGAGGCUCUUCUGGGAAACUACCAGUGCCCACUGUUACCAUGGAGGCAGGCUCCACCUGCCCUAGGUUUCCUCCCUUUGAAAUUCCCCCCACUCGGGAGUUUAUAUGUACGUUACUCAUUUGUCUUUAUUGCUGUGAAUAGUCUGUAUGUGCAAAUGUGCAAUUCUGAUUUCUCCUACCUGAUGGGAACAAGAACUAAAUCGUCACGGUUGUUGAGAUGUUGUCUGGGAGAGUGGGGGAGUGAUGGAUUUGGCUCAUCUGCCACUGGAGCUAAUUAAUGUUUGCCCUGCCUCCAGUCUCAUCCCGUAAAUAAUGAACAGCAGAAAGGCUAGAAAAGAAAACCUAUCAAUCCCGCUCCCAGCAAUAGUGAGAAAGCAGGCACAUAGCAGCACUGCAAGCCACAGACAAGAAGGGGACAGCUGUCCUGGGGAGGCUGGCCACUGAGUUCAUGGAUGUGAAGGAAGUUUCCAGGACGGAGAGAACUCUUGAGACUCCAGACCUCCUAGGAAGGCAGAGGGAUCAGCUUUGGAUGAGUUCCUUUAUAAAUCCAUCUCUCCCUCCUUCUGCUUUGUAAAUGAUGGGGGACAUUCCCCCAAGCUUUGCACCAGAUACAUUCUCCUGUGCCCCUCAGAGAGGCAUGUGAUGUGCAGUGAAAAUAAUGGACAUAAAACACAUCAAGCAGAGAAUUUCCUAUAUUCUGUCUUCAGUGAAGUGUAUUGUCUAUGUUAAUAGGGAAGUUGAACCUCAGGCUAAAGAAGGAAUUGACUGAAACAAUAUAGAGAGGUUGGGAAGGGGCAUUUCUGCUCCGGAACAAGGGCAGACUUCCCAACAGGUAUCACUCAUUUGGCUUUCUCUUUGGGGUAGAGGGGAGAAGAUAAAUAGUGGUGGGUUGAUGUGGGGUAUAGCUAUUGUGCAAGUGUUUCCAUUUGGGGUAAACUGGAAAAUUCUAAGAAUUGUGCGUAUACUACACAGCAACGAAGAAAGAGGUGGAUUGAUAUAACCUCCAUGAAAUAAACUGGCAAAAGAAGGAAAUGUGGAGAGAAAGGGCUUAGACACCUAGGAAGCUCAGACAAUUUGGUUUAACCUGUAGAUAGAGCUGUCUUCCCAGCUGGGACUGGUGAUUCCUGAUUUCAGAAAGUUCAUCACUCACUCCCUCCUCCUAAGCCUUUUAAUACUCAGGAAGGUUUUCCUUCACCAAUACAUACUAGAUACUGAACUGAAGAAAUCUUUUCUUUGCUCCAAGACUCGGUACUAUUAAUAUGCAUUUGAAUGGCAGUGUACUUAUUUGAAGCUGUUCCCAAACUCUCCUAAGCUAAAUAUAGCUCCAACAGGUCUGGGAACUAUCCAAUGCAGUGUACUCUGAAAUUCCACUAGCUGUUUACAUGCCUAAUGCCUAAGUCUGCAGCUUGCUGAGAACACUCUUGCUCGCCUCUGACCUGGGGGUACUACUGCUGGUGCAGGGUGUAGGCGCUGUGUUUGAGCUGUGCAGUCAGCAAGAUCUGAUGACUUGUGAAUAGCGGCUGAGUUCAGCACUCUGGCCAGCUCCCCGGACUUGUUAAGGUCUUUGCCGUUUCAGUCGUUGGAGCUGCGAAAACAUAGAACUGAAACAAACACCUUACUUUGCAAAGUUGCCUUCCCUUUGAAACGACUUUCCAGAUUGCUGGCAUUAUCUGCGGUCGCCUCAGGGCACCUCACUCUGAAGGACGUAAGUCAAUGGAGUUCUCAGAGAAUCGGAGCAGGGAAGGGCUUUGGAGAUCCCUCCUGCUCUAUCUAGACAAGUAAGACCCACGGAGGUGACUUGCCCAAGGUUAUGCCACUAGAUGGUGGCUGACCUGGGCCAGGACCCCGGCCUGCUCCCAGCUUCCAGUUCAGCUAGGCCUCUGGCAAGGAUAGGUGAAAAGUACAUAUGGCCAUUCAAAUUGCUCCAAGUAAAAAUCCUGCAUGUUGUGUGGAAAUUUUCUUAAAAGAGGAAAAACAAUAAAGGUAUCAGAUGGUGAAGAUGCCAUGUCCUCCACGAUUGGUACUGGUGAGAGGAAGGGAAAGGUGUGCUUUGUUAUUUCUACUAUAGUACCCCAACCAUCCGUGUCUUAAAAUUAAGAAAUGAAAUGCCUCGGAGCACACAUAUGCAUAGAAACAGCAAUUGAGCCAUUUCAGAUAGCAAAUCCAGUGCUCUUUCAAAGGAUUGGCUUAAUUUUUUCCCUGUUGCAUUUGUGUUUGUCUGAGCAGGUGUGCUUUUAUCCACACAAAGUGGGCUAAAAGAAUCUGAAAGAAGGCCCUGAACCUCCCCUUUCCACUCUAGGACUUCCGGAAGUUGGAGAAGACUAGCAAAGUGGGCAACUGUAGCCUAGCAGAGGUGACACAGCCACCACGAAGGGCAAACAGGGAGAGUCAGUUCACAUCCAUGCCCUGAAAAGCACGGUCACCUUCAUCAGUGUCAGCCAUGUUUCAGCAGCUCACGGAUAGGAGACCUCCCUCCCUUGUCCCCUCCACCCCGCUCCUGCUGUCUUCCACAAGGAAAUAAUGCUUUUUCUUAUGAUUAUUUUCUGGUCCUGUGCAUAGCAGUAUAAAGUUAGGAGAUGAUGAAUCCGGAAUCAUGACACCCACUGUGAAGGUCACGGUACCGCACAGCCAAGGGCGAGGAUGUUUGGGAGCCUGGGUGGUAGAUGCUUCCUCUCCAUGCGCAGACAGAGCUCCCAUUAUUACUAAUGCCUGCGACGUGCUCAGGGAAGGCAAAAUAUAUUCCAGAGGUUUAUUUUUCCUCUGCUGAAUUGAUUCUAAUCUACUGUGCUGACCCCGCUUUUGGCUUCUAUGAGGCAAAUUCUAUAAAAAUCCACAAAUAAAAUAUGUCUGCUUACGCUACUAAGACAGCUAUGUGGAUAACAUGCUAAAUAUUCAACAGAAACCAAGUUAGGGUCAACUCUAUCUAACUCUUCUCCUUUUUGUAGCUGGAGUUAAGUUCUCUUGGGAAAGAAAAUGGCCCAAUGUGGGAAACUUCUGCAAACAACAUUACCGUACCCCUAACAGUGUUCCCAGCUCUCUGGUCCUUCUGGAGGGAGACAUCAGGAAGUGUUGUGAAGCAGUAUGAUUUCAAACACUUAAUGCCACAGUGUGUAGACAGUGUAAUUACUUCUGCUCUGUCAGUGGAUAAAGAUUGGCAGAAACCAGAUAAGUGUAAUUAUUUUCCAGUUAGCUCCCCAAGAUCUCUUGGACUCGAGACUUUCAGAGGGGAGAGUUGUCUCUCCUCCCCUCUGGCCAAUUUUAGCCACUGUUUUGCAGGACCUCAUCCAGCAGUGGCUGCAUUUUUCCUCUAACCCAUCACCCCUCCCUUCAUGAGCUUCCUCAUACUUCUCCCCGUCUCCGCAGUAAGAGUUGACCCUGCUAGACACGCUGUGAAUGCCAUUCUCUCAGCUGUGACCAAUUUGGGGUGCAGCUGUGAGGCGCUGCCAGGGUUGAAAACGAUGAGCUGCAUGCCACAUUCUGAUGCAGUGAGGAGUGUUGGAGCCAGCGGCUUGGAUCCUAACUUACAUCAGGGUUAUGCAACCUUCCCCACAGAGCCUGUCAAACUGUCAGUAAUUAGUCAGCCUGGACAAUCUACCAUAACUAAUUACCACUGUGUCAAAGCCAUCCAGGGGAAGGAAAAAUAUAUAAGUGAAAAUGGAUAUAGCUAGAAAAGAGCUUCCACCAAAGUCUGGAACAUAAUAACAAGUUAGGUUCUUUGGGGUGGCAGGGGAGCCAUUGGGGGCCACCAGGAAGGGGCAAAAUUCGCCCAAGACAGACAGGGCUGGAUCUUGCCAAACAGCUCACACUCCCAAAUCUGCAGUUCCUCUAAGCUUCUCCCACUACAAGCAAUCAUCAUAUCCUCAGAGCAGGUAAUCCUCAACAUCCCGUUGGCUUUAGAGGGGUUGGAAACAGAUCUUUAAAUGCACCAAGAGAGAGGUGAGCCAAAUUUCUCUCGUCAGUGCUCUUGGGGAAUGUUUGCUCUUCAUGAAUGUUUAAACAAGAUUAUUUUCAUGAUUCCUGAAGGUAUAAAUUCAUAUCAAAUACAAACUGCGACUACAGGUAGCAAAUGUGUAGAAUUCCUUGUACAGAUGUGAAUGGUUGUGGGCUCCUUCUUAAUUUACCUUGUAAGUCAAAUAAAAUACUGUCGCUACUGUGGGUCUCUGCCUCUUCCUUGGCUCUUCUCUUGGGGAGAGAAGGUUCUCUGCAAUGUCAACCUAGGUGAUUCACAGUGCAGUGGGAAAACAC
RNA transcript from Loxodonta africana (African savanna elephant), 5887 nucleotides. It is a transcript of the gene named glucagon like peptide 1 receptor, with no coding region annotated. The record is from RefSeq and is a predicted model, not a curated record. Lineage: Eukaryota; Metazoa; Chordata; Mammalia; Proboscidea; Elephantidae. The transcript is spliced from 14 exons.